AGCGAACGCUGGCGGCAGGCCUAACACAUGCAAGUCGAACGAACCUUUCGGGGUUAGUGGCGGACGGGUAAGUAACACGUGGGAACGUGCCUUUAGGUUCGGAAUAACUCAGGGAAACUUGUGCUAAUACCGAAUGUGCCCUUCGGGGGAAAGAUUUAUCGCCUUUAGAGCGGCCCGCGUCUGAUUAGCUAGUUGGUUGAGGUAAUGGCUCACCAAGGCGACGAUCAGUAGCUGGUCUGAGAGGAUGAUCAGCCACAUUGGGACUGAGACACGGCCCAAACUCCUACGGGAAGCAGCAGUGGGGAAUCUUGCGCAAUGGGCGAAAGCCUGACGCAGCCAUGCCGCGUGAAUGAUGAAGGUCUUAGGAUUGUAAAAUUCUUUCACCGGGGACGAUAAUGACGGUACCCGGAGAAGAAGCCCCGGCUAACUUCGUG
This 434-nucleotide ribosomal RNA is filed under the name uncultured bacterium. Its description in RNAcentral is "partial 16S ribosomal RNA". It matches the Rfam family "Bacterial small subunit ribosomal RNA", at positions 29 to 507 of the family's 1533-position model. The record is from RNAcentral.